GUCUAUGGCCAUGCCACCCUGAACAAGCCCGAUGUCUGAUCUCAGAAGGUAAGCAGGGUUGGGCCUGAUUAGUACUUGGAUGGGAGGCCACCUAGGAAGACCAGGUGCUGUAGACA
Molecule: ribosomal RNA, 116 nt
Filed under: Pteropus alecto (black flying fox)
Lineage: Eukaryota; Metazoa; Chordata; Mammalia; Chiroptera; Pteropodidae
Source: RNAcentral